UCUUAGUCUAACUCAGGCUCUGAUUCGGACUGACUGGUUUGACUGUCACUCCCUGUAUUUUGUCCGAACACCCAGUCGACGAUGUCUUCCCCUUCUCUGUCUGUCAAUCUGCCUGCCUCCACAUCUUCUUCCAGAGAUAUAAUCCACACCGUCCAGUCAAACAACCUGUCGAACACUUGCAUCCUUUAAGGAGUGAGUUGACUCGAUCACGGACAGCCUGUACGUUGGUGGCAGUAUCCCAUUUAAUGGACAAACCUGACGAGUGAAAUCAAUCUUCAAGGAGGCUGCAAGGGUACGUGCUGGCUCACUUCGCCAGUUGCUUGGACUACUCAUAUUCCCACUGACGCCAUGGCACAACUCACAUACUCCGUUGUCUGCAACACUGUCACUGACUUCCCCAAAAGAAAGCUGCCUUCUAGUUUUUCGCUUACUAGCUAGACACUAUUUUACAAAUGUUUGUAUUAAUUUUUUAUAUCAUUA
Molecule: long non-coding RNA, 480 nt
Organism: Halichondria panicea
Lineage: Eukaryota; Metazoa; Porifera; Demospongiae; Suberitida; Halichondriidae
Exons: 3
Source: RefSeq, a predicted model, not a curated record